RNAcentral lists this transfer RNA (70 nucleotides) under Lucasium stenodactylus (pale-snouted ground gecko). RNAcentral describes it as "tRNA-Gln". It matches the Rfam family "tRNA". From Rfam's summary of the family: Transfer RNA (tRNA) molecules are approximately 80 nucleotides in length. Their secondary structure includes four short double-helical elements and three loops (D, anti-codon, and T loops). Further hydrogen bonds mediate the characteristic L-shaped molecular structure. tRNAs have two regions of fundamental functional importance: the anti-codon, which is responsible for specific mRNA codon recognition, and the 3' end, to which the tRNAs corresponding amino acid is attached (by aminoacyl-tRNA synthetases). tRNAs cope with the degeneracy of the genetic code in two manners: having more than one tRNA (with a specific anti-codon) for a particular amino acid; and 'wobble' base-pairing, i.e. permitting non-standard base-pairing at the 3rd anti-codon position. Lineage: Eukaryota; Metazoa; Chordata; Lepidosauria; Squamata; Diplodactylidae. The record is from RNAcentral.
UAGAAGGUAGUAUAGAGGUAGUACAUAAAGUUUUGGGCUUUGUGGUGCAGGUUCGUGUCCUGUUCUUCUA